Molecule: ribosomal RNA, 403 nt
Filed under: uncultured bacterium
Lineage: Bacteria
Description: bacterial SSU rRNA
Rfam family: Bacterial small subunit ribosomal RNA
Source: RNAcentral
UGGGGAAUAUUGCACAAUGGGGGAAACCCUGAUGCAGCGACGCCGCGUGAGUGAAGAAGUAUUUCGGUAUGUAAAGCUCUAUCAGCAGGGAAGAAAAUGACGGUACCUGACUAAGAAGCCCCGGCUAACUACGUGCCAGCAGCCGCGGUAAUACGUAGGGGGCAAGCGUUAUCCGGAUUUACUGGGUGUAAAGGGAGCGUAGGUGGCAUGGCAAGUCAGAAGUGAAAACUGGGGGCUCAACCUCCAGACUGCUUUUGAAACUGUCAAGCUAGAGUGCAGGAGAGGUAAGUGGAAUUCCUAGUGUAGCGGUGAAAUGCGUAGAUAUUAGGAGGAACACCAGUGGCGAAGGCGACUUACUGGACUGUAACUGACACUGAGGCUCGAAAGCGUGGGGAGCAAACAG